CCGGAUUCCAGGGGUGUGACCCGGGCCUCAUGUUUCCUCAUCUGUAGAACAGGAAUGACAAUAACACCUGCCUGACAGGAUUGUCAAGAGGAUCAAAUGAGGUAGUGUGAAAGUGCAAAAAAAAAAAAAAAGAAGAAGGCAGUUGCCCUAAUUAUUAGUGCUACGUAUCUAAUUAUUGUCUUAAUUACAAUGGAGCACGGGCUUGGGUUCGAGGACGCAGAAGGCUUGGCCCUGCGCACAAAGAUCUUGUGCACAGAAGCAAAUGACUGCGGCCGUCAGCGCUCACAAACAGGUGAGUCCCGCCCCAGGAGCUCCAAGCCUCUUGGGAGAAGUCAGUGCUUUCCAAGCGGCGCUGCAUCACGGUGGCGGGCUGAGCGCCCCUCCAUCAGUCAGAUCCCUGCGACCGGAGGAAAGCGGGAGAAGAGGGCGCUGGCAGUGUCCUUCGGCCGGCGGGGAAGUGGCUGGACCCCCGCACGGCCGGCGGCACUGGCUCCCCAGCUGACGCCCCAGCAAACCGCGGGGUUGGGGGGAGGAACUCGGCCGCAUCCGCACGUGGAGGUCAGCCGAGUGGGACUUCAGAACGAGCAGAUUCGAAUCUGUCGGCUAGGAAUCUCUGUGACUGGGCUCCCGCCUUCUCUCCAUGACUUUUGAUUUUCCGAGCACCUCCCAGCUGCCUGAACUUGUUUUCCCACCUGUAAUAAAUAGUUGUUAAAAUUACAUGAAAAUAUAGUAAAGAACUUGCUAAUUAUUCAAUAAAUAGCAGCUGUUAUUGCCACCGUCAUAGUCAGCAGCACUGCCGCAUCAUCUGUGGAUGGCCGAGUCAGCCCUGCCCCAUCCCGCGCCAGCCCACACCACCCAGCCGAGUCCCAGGCUCUCUAGCUCCACCGUCUGGGAGGGGACUGCCGUGAGCAUUUCUGCGUGAGAAACCAGGAGCCGGGGUGCCAGGGGUCAGAACCGGCGGCAGCUUUCAUGUCAUAGUUCCCACAUCCUUCUUCCCCUUGCUCCUCAUGCUCCAUGCUGAUCCUUCAAAGAACUGAAUUUCUGCGGUUUCUGGGCCGAGCACUCUCGUCCCAACGAGGACUCCAGGCACUGGCCGGUCCCAACCCAGGCAACCUGCGUGGCUCUGCUUCCGGCAUCUCAGUGGUUCUCGAGAGGGAGAUGCUAUCCUCCUACGGCAAUUGGAACACGGCGGGGGCAUUUUCAUCACAGCGAAGGGGUGCCCUACUGGUACUGCGUGGGAUUGGCCAGUGAUGGAAUAGGCCUGCACGACAAAGAAUUGUCUUGCAUAACUUUCAAAUGUCCCGCAGGACGUUCAUGUAAGUGAAAGGCCAUUUACUAUUAUCUGAACUAGAAUCUAACUCUGUUUUGUAUAUAAACAAAACACUUUUUUUGCAAGACUUUUUUGGGUAUUUUAUUAUUGUAGUAAAAAUACACAACAUAGAAUUUACCAUGUUAACCAUUUUUAAGUGUAUAAUUCAAUGGCAUUAAGUACUUUCAAAAUGUUGUGCAACCAUCACUGCUAUAUAUUUCCAAAACUUUUCGUCACCACAGACAGAAGCUCUGUGCCUAUUAAGCAAUAGCUCCCCAGGCCCCUUCCCGUUGGGUCUUUACAACCUCUAAUCCACUUUCUGGCUCUGUGAAUUUGCCUAUUCUGGGUACUUCGUAUAAGGGGAAUCAUAUAAUAUCUGUCCUUUGUUUCAUCAAAAACUUUACCAAGAGUUGUUCAUGGUAUUGGAAAAUUACCAUCACCAGUGACAAGGCCAUGCGUGGUAUUUAAUCAUCAAUAAAAUUUACAUCCAUCAGUCUGUUUGUAACUGCUACAUAGAACAUGGCUGCAAGCAUUUGAUGCUUUAAUGUUUUCUACUGUAAUUAUGUCUGAACAUUCACAUAUUGAAAUAUGUAUUAUUUUAUUAUGUUUUACAUUCCUUUUUAUUCCCAAGUUACGGCAUUUUGUUUUCUUUUAAAUUAUGUAUCAGUAGCUUAAAUAAGCUAUUAAUUUCAUUUUAGGUUAGUAAUGGGAGUAUUACAAAAUAUUUAUUAUAAAAAGGAGCAUUGGGCCUCGUGGGGCUGAGAAUCAGUGGUUUAUCUCCCUUAGUCACUGAUGAUGACCAGGCGCCAGGGAACAUCUCCCUGGAGGCGAGGGGCUGUUGACCAACCUUGAAUGCCGCCUGUGCCUACAACCUUACACAGCCGGCCUCACCCCUCCGACAGGAAAUCCUCAAACCACUGAACCGGUGGCUCUUUGGCCACCACUACCUGACGACUGUGGUCUGGCCAGUGCGGCCAGGUAGGGAUUUCUGCUCCUGUCCCCAAUGUCGGCCAUUGCAGUUACUAUUGUUCCUAGCUUCAAUGAUGGGCUCAGGCAUCCUAAACAAAUUGAGAUCAGAUCACUUCAAGGCAAUCACCUAAAACUGAAGCUGUAUUUUUAGCAUUCAGCAAAAUGAGUGAUUCUAGCACAAGUCCUGGGCAUCUCACCAACGGGAUUUUGGGGUGACACUCUGUUCACAUUCUUGCUUCAGACUGACCUGCAUCUGGCUGGGAGCACUCAGAUACCAGAUUUUUUCUAAAUGAAAAGGCUGGAAGUAUUAUAGAUAUUGUUUCCUAACCAACUGCCCCUUUAUUAUUCACACUUCCUUAGAUCAGCCCCAAAAUCUUUCUUGAGAGUGUAUAAUAUCACAAGAUUUUAAAUGGGC
This 2693-nucleotide long non-coding RNA is filed under the name Equus caballus (horse). RNAcentral describes it as "lncRNA (ENSECAG00000051197.1)". Lineage: Eukaryota; Metazoa; Chordata; Mammalia; Perissodactyla; Equidae. The record is from RNAcentral.